ACAUCCAGAGAAUUUGGCAGAGAUGCCUUAGUGCCUUCGGGAACUCUGAGACAGGUGCUGCAUGGCUGUCGUCAGCUCGUGUUGUGAAAUGUUGGGUUAAGUCCCGNAACGAGCGCAACCCUUAUCCUUUGUUGCCAGCACGUAAUGGUGGGAACUCAAAGGAGACUGCCGGUGAUAAACCGGAGGAAGGUGGGGAUGACGUCAAGUCAUCAUGGCCCUUACGAGUAGGGCUACACACGUGCUACAAUGGCGCAUACAAAGAGAAGCGACCUCGCGAGAGCAAGCGGACCUCAUAAAGUGCGUCGUAGUCCGGAUUGGAGUCUGCAACUCGACUCCAUGAAGUCGGAAUCGCUAGUAAUCGUAAAUCAGAAUGUUACGGUGAAUACGUUCCCGGGCCUUGUACACACCGCCCGUCACACCAUGGGAGUGGGUUGCAAAAGAAGUAGAUAGCUUAACCUUCGGGAGGGCGUUUACCACUUUGUGAUUCAUGACUGGGGUGAAGUCGUAACAAGGUAAGCGUAGUGCU
Molecule: ribosomal RNA, 526 nt
Filed under: uncultured bacterium
Lineage: Bacteria
Description: bacterial SSU rRNA
Rfam family: Bacterial small subunit ribosomal RNA
Source: RNAcentral